This 333-nucleotide unclassified non-coding RNA is filed under the name soil metagenome. RNAcentral's name for it is "partial contains 5.8S ribosomal RNA, internal transcribed spacer 2, and large subunit ribosomal RNA". The stretch from base 1 to 121 matches the Rfam family "5.8S ribosomal RNA", at positions 35 to 154 of the family's 154-position model. The record is from RNAcentral.
GAUGAAGAACGCAGCGAAAUGCGAUAAGUAAUGCGAAUUGCAGAAUUUCCGUGAGUCAUCGAAUCUUUGAACGCACAUUGCGCCCGCUAGUAUUCUGGCGGGCAUGCCUGUUCGAGCGUCAUUUCAACCAUCAAGCCCUGUUUAGGCUUGUGUUGGGGCCCUGCGGCUGCCGCAGCCCCCUAAAUGCAGUGGCGGGCUCGUUGUCACUCCGAGCGCAGUAGCGUAUCUCGCUCUGGGCGUGGCGGCGGGUGCUAGCCGUGAAACACCCACUAAGGUUGACCUCGGAUCAGGUAGGAAUACCCGCUGAACUUAAGCAUAUCAAUAAGCGGAGGA